CAACACUCAAGCUCUGCUUGGUAUUGGGCCCUGCCGGUAACGGCGGGCCCUAAAAUCAGUGGCGGCGCCACCUGGCUCUAAGCGUAGUAAUACUCCUCGCUAUAGAGUUCCCGGUUGGAUGCUUGCCAGCAACCCCCAACUUUCUAA
Molecule: unclassified non-coding RNA, 147 nt
Filed under: uncultured Xenopolyscytalum
Lineage: Eukaryota; Fungi; Ascomycota; Leotiomycetes; Helotiales
Description: sequence contains ITS2
Source: RNAcentral